RNAcentral lists this long non-coding RNA (1608 nucleotides) under Homo sapiens (human). RNAcentral describes it as "HSALNT0131707". The record is from RNAcentral. Lineage: Eukaryota; Metazoa; Chordata; Mammalia; Primates; Hominidae.
CUCAUCAGUUAACUAUGCAAGCCAAAAUAAAACAUGUUAUUUCAUACAGGACAACAAAUAAACAUGGUUUUUUACAUGUCUUUUUAUAUAGAACACAAAAAGCACAAACUACAAGAGUAUAAUUGAUAAACAGGACUUCUUCAAAAUUAAAAUUUCCUAUUUGAAAGACACCAUUUUAAAAAAUUAAAAUAGGGCCAGGUGCGAUGGCUCACACCUGUAAUCCCAGCACAGAGGUCAGGAGUUUGAGACUAGCCUGGCCAACAUGGUGAAACCCCAUCUCUACUAAAAAUACACACACACACAAAAUUAGCCAGGCAUGGUGACAUGCACCUGUAAUCCCAGCUAUUCGGGAGGCUGAGACAGGAGGACUGCAUGAACCCAGGAGGCAGAGGUUGCAGUGAGCCAAGAUCGCACCAUUGCACUCCAGCCUGGGUGACAGAGCGAGACUCGGUCUCAAAAAUAAAAUAUAAAAUAAAAUAAAAUAAAAAUAGGAGCCACAUACUGUAAUACCCAACCCUAAUAAAAGACUUGUAUCCAGAACAUCUAAAGAAGGCUUAAAACGCAACAAGACAAACAAUGCAAUAAUACAACAAAAACAGAUGAGAGACUUGAGCUGGUAUUUCACCAACACAGAUACAUAAGUGAAGUGUGCAGCAUCAGUCCUCGGGCAACACAAAUUAAAGACACCAUGAGUUACCACUACACAACCAACAGAAUGAAGAUAAAAACACUGAAAAUAACCAUUGUAAGGGAGGAUGAUAGGAAUAUAAAAUGUUACAACAACUAUGGAAAACAGUUUGUGAGAUUUGUUUAAAAGUUAAAUGUAGACUUAACAUAUUAACCAGAACUUCCACUCCAAGAAACUGACCCAGUGAAACAAGCCCACACAGACUUGUAUACAUGAAGGUUCCUAGCAACUUUAUCUGCAAUAGCCAAAGGACCAUCAAUAAACAGCCAAAGGGGAAUCAAUAGGUGAGUGGGUAAAUAGCCAAACAACCAUCAACAGGUGAAUGGAUAAACAGCCAAAUGACCCUCAAUAGGUGAAUGGCUAAGCCACCACAGUGUGGAUGAACCUCAAGACUGUGGCAGUGUGGGGCCAGGUCCCAGCAGCCGUUGUCAGGGCAGCCUAGGAGGCUGUCAGCACCACUGCUACCAGAACAGCUCUCAGAAAGAAAAGACCAGAGUAACAGUGUUUGCCUUUAGGCUGAGCUACUUGGUGUCUGUGCUGCUCACGUUCACAGCCACAGGACCCAUCCCAAUACCCAUAGAGGCAACAUGAAGGUUGGACCCAGAGACUGCUGUGGGCCCUGCCCUGGGCUCUCCACUCAGGGAGUAUCACAGCACCUCACUCCUGGCCAUAAAGGUAAUACUUUCUCUUUUUUUUUUUUGAGACAGAGUCUUGCUCUGUCGCCCAGGCUGGGGUGCAGUGACGCGACGUCAGCUCACUGCAACCUCUGCUUCCUGAGUAGCUGGGAUUACAGGCAUUCACCACCACACCCAGCUAAUUUUGUAUUUUUGGUAGAGACGGGGUUUCACCAUGUUGUCUAGGCUGGUCUUGAACUCCUGACCUCAAGUGAUCUAUCUGCCUGCCUCAGCCUCCCAAAGUGC